AUGAAUUUGCUCUCUGAAUACAAAGAAGAGUGGAAAAAGACAAGAUGUACAAUUAUGUCUGAUGGAUGGACAGAUAAAAAGAAAAGGUCCAUCUGCAACUUUUUAGUGAAUAGCCCCAAAGGUAUUGUCUUUCUCGCCUCAGUCGAUACUUCUGACAUUUCCAAGACAGCGGACAAAGUGUUUGAAAUGUUAGAUGAUAUUGUUGAGCAAGUAGGAGAAGAUAAUGUUGUUCAAAUUGUAACGGACAAUGCCGCUAACUAUAAAGCAGCUGGUGAGCUAUUGAUGGAAAAGAGGAAAAAUUUAUUUUGGACUCCAUGUGCAGCUCAUUGUAUUGAUUUAAUUCUUGAGGAUUUUGAAAAGAAAAUUAAGAUGCAUCAGACAACCAUUACAAAAGGGCAGAAAAAUCACCACGUAUGUUUAUUCUAG
Molecule: ribosomal RNA, 426 nt
Filed under: Triticum aestivum (bread wheat)
Lineage: Eukaryota; Viridiplantae; Streptophyta; Magnoliopsida; Poales; Poaceae
Description: partial small subunit ribosomal RNA
Source: RNAcentral